CUUAAAGGAAUUGACGGAAGGGCACCACCAGGAGUGGAAUCUGCGGCUUAAUUUGACAACGCGGGAAAACUCACCAGGUCAGGACACGGUAAGGAUUGACGGACUGAAGGUUCUUUCUCGAUUCCGUGGAAAGUGGUGCAUGGCCGUUUUGGUUGGUGGAUCGAUCCGUCUGGUUAAUUCCGUUAACGAACGAGACCUCGGCACUCCGAAUAGCGCGGCGGACGUCGCGGCCUCCGGGCCGUCUUCCGCACGAGCUUCUUAGAGGGACCGUCCCCCGCCGGGGAAGGAGGUGCGAGGCAACGACAGGUCUGUGAUGCCCUUAGAUGUUCUGGGCCGCACGCGCAUUACACUGACGCGUCCAACGGGUGACUCCCGACCCGAAGGGGCCGGGGAAUCCGCAAGGCGCGUCGUGAUGGGGAUUGAACGUUGCAAUUGUUGUUCACGAACGAG
This 450-nucleotide ribosomal RNA is filed under the name uncultured eukaryote. Its description in RNAcentral is "bacterial SSU rRNA". It matches the Rfam family "Eukaryotic small subunit ribosomal RNA", at positions 1143 to 1607 of the family's 1831-position model. The record is from RNAcentral.